Molecule: ribosomal RNA, 492 nt
Filed under: uncultured bacterium
Lineage: Bacteria
Description: bacterial SSU rRNA
Rfam family: Bacterial small subunit ribosomal RNA
Source: RNAcentral
AUGAACGCUGGCGGCGUGCUUAAUACAUGCAAGUCGAACGAAGCACCUGCGACGGAUCCCUUCGGGGUGAAGAUGCUUGUGACUGAGUGGCGGACGGGUGAGUAACGCGUGGGUAACCUGCCUUAUGCAGGGGGACAACAGUUGGAAACGACUGCUAAUACCGCAUAAGCGCACGGCACCGCAUGGUGCAGUGUGAUAAGAUUUAUCGGCAUAAGAUGGACCCGCGUCUGAUUAGGUAGUUGGUGAGGUAACGGCCCACCAAGCCGACGAUCAGUAGCCGACUUGAGAGAGUGAUCGGCCACAUUGGGACUGAGACACGGCCCAGACUCCUACGGGAGGCAGCAGUAGGGAAUAUUGCACAAUGGGGGGAACCCUGAUGCAAGCGACGCCGCGUGAGUGAUGAAGUAUUUCGGUACGUAAAGCUCUAUCAGCAGGGAAGAUAAUGACGGUACCUGACUAAGAAGCCCCGGCUAACUACGUGCCAGCCGCAGC